AGGAUUCCCCUAGUAACUGCGAGUGAAGCGGGAAAAGCUCAAAUUUAAAAUCUGGCAGUCUCUGGCUGUCCGAGUUGUAAUCUAGAGAAGUAAUGCCCGUGCUGGACCGUGUAUAAGUCUCCUGGGAUGGGGCGUCAUAGAGGGUGAGAAUCCCGUCUUUGACACGGACUACCAGUGCAUUGUGGUAUGCUCUCAAAGAGUCGAGUUGUUUGGGAAUGCAGCUCAAAAUGGGUGGUAAAUUCCAUCUAAAGCUAAAUAUUGGCGAGAGACCGAUAGCGAACAAGUACCGUGAGGGAAAGAUGAAAAGAACUUUGGAAAGAGAGUUAAACAGUACGUGAAAUUGCUGAAAGGGAAACGCUUGAAGUCAGUCGCGUUGRCCGGGAAUCAGCCUUGCUUUUGCAUGGUGUACUUUCUGGUUGACGGGUCAGCAUCAAUUUUGACCGCUGGAAAAAGGCCUGGGGAAUGUGGCAGCUUCGGCUGUGUUAUAGCCCCUAGUCGCAUACAGUGGUUGGGAUUGAGGAACUCAGCACGCCGCAAGGCCGGGUUUCGACCACGUUCGUGCUUAGGAUGCUGGCAUAAUGGCUUUAAGCGACCCGUCUUGAAACACGGACCAAGGAGUCUAACAUGCCUGCGAGUAUUUGGGUGGAAAACUCAAGUGCGUAAUGAAAGUGAAAGUUGAGAUCCCUGUCGUGGGGAGCAUCGACGCCCGGACCAGAACUUUUGGGACGGAUCCGCGGUGGAGCAUGUAUGUUGGGACCCGAAAGAUGGUGAACUAUGCCUGAAUAGGGUGAAGCCAGAGGAAACUCUGGUGGAGGCUCGUAGCGAUUCUGACGUGCAAAUCGAUCGUCAAAUUUGGGUAUAGGGGCGAAA
Molecule: ribosomal RNA, 870 nt
Filed under: Agaricus gemlii
Lineage: Eukaryota; Fungi; Basidiomycota; Agaricomycetes; Agaricales; Agaricaceae
Description: eukaryotic LSU rRNA
Rfam family: Eukaryotic large subunit ribosomal RNA
Source: RNAcentral